UACGAACUGUGCGAACGUUAUUCAGAAUCACUGGGCUUACAGGGUGCGUAGGCGGCUCAACAAGUCAGGUGUGAAAGCCCCCGGCUCAACCGGGGAACUGCGCUUGAAACUGUUAGGCUCGAGUCAGCUAGAGGUACACGGAACUUCCAGUGGAGCGGUGAAAUGUGUUGAUAUUGGAAGGAACACCGGAGGCGAAAGCGGUGUACUGGGGCUGGUCUGACGCUGAGGCACGAAAGCCAGGGGAGCGAACGGG
RNAcentral lists this ribosomal RNA (253 nucleotides) under uncultured bacterium. Its description in RNAcentral is "partial 16S ribosomal RNA". It matches the Rfam family "Bacterial small subunit ribosomal RNA", at positions 524 to 776 of the family's 1533-position model. The record is from RNAcentral.